Molecule: ribosomal RNA, 497 nt
Filed under: uncultured bacterium
Lineage: Bacteria
Description: partial 16S ribosomal RNA
Rfam family: Bacterial small subunit ribosomal RNA
Source: RNAcentral
GACGAACGCUGGCGGCAUGCCUAAUACAUGCAAGUCGAACGCUGAAGCACUCUGCUUGCAGAGUGCGGAUGAGUGGCGAACGGGUGAGUAACACGUGGGAAAUCUGCCUAUAAGAGGGGGAUAACAUUCGGAAACGGAUGCUAAUACCGCAUAUAAUCUUGGACCGCCUGGUCCUUGAAAGAAAGACGGCUUUGCUGUCGCUUAUAGAUGAUCCCGCGGCGUAUUAGUUAGUUGGUGGGGUAAAGGCCUACCAAGACAAUGAUACGUAGCCGACCUGAGAGGGUGAUCGGCCACACUGGGACUGAGACACGGCCCAGACUCCUACGGGAGGCAGCAGUAGGGAAUCUUCCACAAAGGGCGAAAGCCUGAUGGAGCAAUGCCGCGUGAAUGAAGAAGGUCUUCGGAUCGUAAAGUUCUGUUAUUAGAGAAGAACAAGUCAAGGAGUAACUGUCUUGACUUUGACGGUACCUAACCAGAAAGUCACGGCUAACUACGUG